CCUACGGGAGGCAGCAGUGAGGAAUAUUGGUCAAUGGACGCAAGUCUGAACCAGCCAUGCCGCGUGCAGGAAGACGGCUCUAUGAGUUGUAAACUGCUUUUGUACGAGGGUAAACGCAGAUACGCGUAUCUGUCUGAAAGUAUCGUACGAAUAAGGAUCGGCUAACUCCGUGCCAGCAGCCGCGGUAAUACGGAGGAUUCAAGCGUUAUCCGGAUUUAUUGGGUUUAAAGGGUGCGUAGGCGGGCGGAUAAGUUAGCGGUGAAAUCCCGAGGCUCAACUUCGGAAUUGCCUCUGAUACUGUCCGGCUAGAGAGAAGGAGCGGUAGGCGGAAUGUAUGGUGUAGCGGUGAAAUGCAUAGAGAUCAUACAGAACACCGAUUGCGAAGGCAGCUUACCAGGCUACUUCUGACGUUGAGGCACGAAAGCGUGGGUAGCAAACAGGAUUAGAUACCCCGGUAGUC
RNAcentral lists this ribosomal RNA (460 nucleotides) under uncultured bacterium. RNAcentral describes it as "partial 16S ribosomal RNA". It matches the Rfam family "Bacterial small subunit ribosomal RNA", at positions 338 to 795 of the family's 1533-position model. The record is from RNAcentral.